This 5356-nucleotide long non-coding RNA is filed under the name Homo sapiens (human). RNAcentral's name for it is "long non-coding RNA NONHSAT160261.1". Lineage: Eukaryota; Metazoa; Chordata; Mammalia; Primates; Hominidae. The record is from RNAcentral.
UAAUUGUGCAGGCUGAACCUUACUCCAUGGUUUUGUGGUCUCCAGGUGUGAAAAAAUCAAUUAUUCCUAGCAAAGUAGGUCAGAGAAAUGGGAGAAAAGGACGGGAAAUGAAUGAGAGCAUGCAAGAGUCUUGCUUCUAUUUUUUUGAUCACCAAUUCUCUGGCUUUUUUCUUCCUCAUAUCUUACCUCCCUUGGUUAGGAACACAAUCCACACUUGGUUUCACUGUGGAGAAGACUCAAGAAAAGGGAAAACAUAUUUUGGCUACUGUUUGUCAAGUUAUUCAGUAUUGAAUAUACUUAACAUAUACCCAAACUGCAGAUCACAAAAAACACAAACAAGCAACAAUAAAAAACACCAACAAAUAUCUGUAAAAACAAGCAAGUGCUAGUACAAAGAAAAGUGAUAUAAAUCGAGAGGGAAAAUGAUCCUGCUUUCUCUACUUGGCUUGUGUUCACCAAACUCUGUCUUUGCUGACUCUGAAGCUUCUUUCAUUUUAAGCUUAUAAUUCUUAUAGGUUUAGUCCAAGUAUGCAAUUACCCUUGGCUGUGAGAGGUGGCUGAGCAGUUAGACAAAUGCUACUAAAUAGGAUGAAAGGUGAACUUGCACUUAAAAAGUUAGGUUGGAAUCUAAAGCAUACAAUUCAGUCUUCUGGGAGGUUAUAGUAUAGUACUAAUGAAUAUAUUUUGGGAAAUAAAUUUGAUGCAAGUUUUAAAUAAACCAGACUUGACUUCUAUAAUAAAUUUAGAAACUCUUUUACCAAAGGUCCUCAUUGCAGGUUUUGGGGAUAAAGGGUAGAGUGCUAUAAAUCUAUUAUUUAAAGAAAACUAAAAUGAAUUCUAGAUGUUUCUGAUUAACAGUAAGCCUCUAUUUUCCCUGCAUAACAUAUUUGACCCUUGGCCCAUCAGAACCGUAGCUGCACUGAUGUAUUAGAGACCAUUACACACGUGAAUUUACUUGGUUUAGCAGGAAGCCUAUAUGACUGUUUAAAUAUUUGCUAUAUUGUUGUACCAAAAUACAAUUCUGUGUCUACUGCUCAUUGUAGUCUAUCCAAAGGCAACUGGGCAGCAGUAUUCUGAAAUACGUACACCAAAAAUACACCACGUACAAUUCAUCAAGUUAACAUAACCCAAUGAUAAUCUGUGUGUGUGUGUGUGUGUGCAUGUGUGUGUUUGUAUUUCCUGCUAAUAGUAUGCAGUUUGCUUCCCUAAACAUCAAAGAUGCUUCAGAAAGAAUAUUCUCUAACAUCUUUUUCUAUCUUUUCUAUUCAGGAAUUUUACUCUUCCAUAUCUGGCCAUGACCUUAGUCUCGAACACUCUUUUGAAAGUGUACAGAUGUCUAUGCAAAACAAUAGAAGGAUAUGGUGUAGCUCACACACAUAGGCUCUGAUAUAGCUUUAAUAAUUUCCCCUCAUAUUUCAAAUAUUCUGAAAUCAUGUAUCAUCUUUUUCAAAGACUGAAAUAGGUUAUUUGCAUAUGGAAGAGUGAUAAAUUUUUUUUUGAUAAAGAAAAUGUGGCUAGUUCAUAAUUGCUUUUAGGCCUUAUAAUCAAAAAAUUAAAAAUUAGGAUAUUGUUUGAGACCCGUUUACUAUGAAAUAAAAUUCUAAAUAUAGAUGUGCUGGGGGUAAAAAAUCUUGACAAUGUAAGGGCUAUUUACAUGGCAGAAAGAAAAGGAAGAAGGUAUAUCAAGAAUAGCCUGCACUGAAACAUGAAAACAUAUUAAGUAGAGGGCCCCAGAGUAUCCAACGUUUUUAAGGUAAAGAUUGAUCAAGGUGAAAAAAACAAAACAAAACUCAGUCUCUUAUCUUUUUGGGAUAAUCUUCAAGAUAUUUAGAUAAAGUAGAAGAGUUAGAUGAGUGCUUACAAAUACAAUGUGGCACUCUAAAGCAAUAUAAUUUUAAAAUAUUGUGUUCAACUACUUAUUUGUUGUUUCAGCUUGUUUUAAUAAUAAUCUUGAAAAUAAUGAUAGCAUUAACUAUCACAGACAUAGCAUGUGAAUGCUGGGUAAGCAGUCAUACUCUGCUAAGAAGCUGUCUGUUUCUCUUAAAUAUAGUAGCACAGAAUCAAAUAUCUUAUAAAACUUAUCCUGAAAUUACAUAUGCAUCAUUAUAUUUGAUUAGAAUGUAUUCUGUACAACAGCUACUUCUGAUAAAAAUGAAUCUAAAAAGUUACCUUCCAAAAAUCAAGGUCCCUGCGAUUCUUUCUCUUCUUUUGCAAGAAGAAAUGUGAAUUCCUAAAAGCUCUGUAUAUAUUAGAUAGGAAGCAGCUGGGACACCACUGUCUUCUCAUGCUCCAUCGGGAUACAGAACAAGAUACAUCUGGCUGUAUGAGAGAAAAAAGAAAUCUUCUAGAAUUAAUGUAGCACACUGUCAAUUAGGAUCCAAAUUUAGAUACUGAAUGAAGCCUUCUCAAAACACAUACCAGUUCACAUCCUUCUGUUUCUUAAACUGCUGCCAACAGAACUUCCGAAAUUUCAACCUUGAGAAAACUAUAUAAAUUGUAUGUAAAAUUAUAUAAUUAAAUUUUAUAAUAUGUUUAGCAGGAAAAUGUAAAACUGCUGUUCAUUUUUUGUUUUGCCCAGGAUUAAGAAAAAAGAAAAAUAGAGAGGAACUUGCUGCAAGGCAGACAAUAAAUGAAGCUAUUUUAAUGAAAGCACAUAAUAUUGGAAAACUCUUUGUUUUGUAAAUUUUGUUCUAUGCAGAAAAUGAGCACAUCUAUCUGUCCCUUGCACCAAAAACAGAAAGGAAGGCCUAUGAAAAUCAGACCAUGAAGUCUUAUUUUUCAUUCUUUGGUCUAGUAAUUUAAUUUCAUUUUCCAGAUUAUUAAUGCUGCAGUUUAUUAUAUAUUUGAUGCUGAAUUGCUGAAUUUGACUUGUCCAAAUGACAUCAAUCCUGCCUUUAUCUCAUUGCCAGAAGUAGUGAAUAUAUUGCUUUUUAUCCUGGUGAAAGGGAAGAUUCAAAGUUGUUUGAAGGAGAGGGGCUGAUCUGUGUGGUGGCAGUAGAACAUAUUCUGAUUGAUGUCCUCUAACCUUGCAAACUUGCCAGAGCAUCCACCUAGUUCAACCCUAGUUCAGUUAUCAUGGUGGAAACCCAUUAUGGGCACUCUUAGCAACUAUUGUGCCUAUAUAUUAAUAAGUCUACUGAAUAACAAUUAGUUCAUCCCCUUACUUCUUCAGCCCUUACUUCCACAUUGAAAGAAGUAAAAAGUAGAACUCACCAAUUGCUAUUUAAGCACAUUUGCUAGUUUUGUAAAGUCUAUAGACUUCUAAGAGGAAUAUAUGAAACCUCAAGUAAAUAUAUUAAAACAUGCACAAAAUAAAUAUAUUUAUGAUAUAUACUUUUUAUUGUAACUAUCAAAUUUUAAUCAAAAAAUUUGUAAUGCUAGGGAAAUCUCAGGUUUUACUAAUGGAAUUAUGAAAAAAUAUUAAUCUUAAUACAAUUUGUAAAAUGCCUUAAAAGUUAGAUGUUGAAAUGGACUUCCAGGUCCUGUAGCUACUUCUAUUGAAAUUAUCAUCAUAAUGUUUUACAAAAUGAGAAAAGUAAUACAGUUUCUCUUUCCAGUUGCCCUGAAGCAGACUAACUGAUGCUUGUAAAGAUGUUUCUCAGCAUAAAUGGAUUGUUAGAGAAUGAACUUCAGUUAAUUUUGACCUUAAAAAAAAGUCACGUAGAUAUGUAUUUUCAUCUGAAACAUUUUCAAGAGUCUUGCAAACAAGUCACUCUAAAAUAAUUUAUGACAAUGUUUAUGUGCUCAAUUACAUUUUGGUUUUUCAAUACAUAUUCUUACCUUAAGUGAAAGUAGAUUGUAUCCCUGGUUUUCAUUUUUCAGCACAUUUUCAAGUUUUCUAAGAGAAGUACAAAAUCAUAAUCUGUCACUACAUAACAUGUCACUACAUGUUCAACAUUUGUAAAACUCAAUUUAUUAUAAAUCCUGAGUUAUUAGUAACUGUUAUUUGAAAGCCAUUUUAGUAAUCAUAGAAAGCACUAAUAUUAAGGAGUAAAAAAUCAACAAUUAAUAUCAGAAAUAAACCAUGAGCUCUUAGAAACUAGUGGGAUACCAUUAGGCAUUCAUAAGAUAUAAUAAUUCAAAAGUAAAAAUUAUAUGCUUUGUAGCUCAAAAGUGCUUUCACCUAUUUUCUCAUUUGUGUAGCCUUGAAAUAGUGGUAGAUGAGUAUUUCAAAUUCAAGCAUCAGAUAUUUCAUAAAUACUGCAUAUGCCUGUGUGUGGAAUUAUUGAUGUUUUGAACCUAUAAACAGGAUAGAAAGGAAGAGAUGGUCAGGAAACAAUACUGGAGAAGAAAAAGAGGUAAAUGGUAAAAGCAGAAAAAAUGAUUAGAUUAUGUUUAUUUUAGAAUAGAUUCAUUUAGUGAAUAUGAAUUGAGGAACCUACUUAAUGCCAGGCACUAUUUGCAGCUCUGGAUGUACAGCAAUGAACAAAACUUUUAAGUCAUGCCCACAAGAUAAAGUGACCAACUCAUCUCAGUUUGCACAGAUGUUCCUGGUUUUAGUACUGAAAGCCCUGCAUUCCAGAAACCCCUUAGUCGAGGGCAAAUCAAGACGGUUGCUCACCAUUAUCAGAACCUCACUUUCUGGUAACUGUCAUCUUGAUUUCCAAAUUCAUAUUAAUAUUUUUAUCUCAUUGUUAAUGACAAUGCAAGUUAGCACUGACCACAAGUAACCAAUGGCUAGUAUACCUGUUUCUAACUGGGGCAAAGUUAUGACAAGAGCAAAUUAUAGUAAUAUCAAACUUCCUAGAAUUAUUUCUAGACAACACUCCUUGGAGUGCAACUGAAGUAUCAAAAGUACAACUUGCCCUCAAGGAAGAGUUAGUGUCUGGGAAUGUGAACGAACAAUCAUAACCACCAUUUGCAAGACACCUACGUAUAUCAUCUCUAGUUCUUACAAAGCCCUCUAAGGUAGUAUCAUCAUCUCCGUUGCAAGGAUAAAGACUUUGAGAGUAAACUCUCCCAUACACAAUAAUGAGAAAGAAAACCCAAGGUAAAAGAAGAGAAUUGGAGCUUUCAGAUGGCUAUAGCAAGUCUUGUAUAAGCAAUAGCAUUUAUUUUUCAGAACAGAAAACUAUUAAUGCUCUCAGUGUAUUUUACUUCUUGUGUUCUAUUGGAUUAUAUUUUCCUGGAAACUGGCUUCUCUUUGGGGUCACAUUUUGGUAAUCAAUGUUAGUCUUAUUCUUGUUCAGUCAAGUUUACUAAUGAAAUGGAUAGGACAGUACCUUUGAAGCACUGACUUGGUUAAUGUGGCAAUGUUUGAACUAUUUUUAUAUUGACUAUUAUUGAAUUUCGUAGAGGAACUUCAAAUUGAAGACGUUAUGGAUCAGCCAGCAUUCAAAGAUGAAAAUAAAUCAAU